AAAAAUGCGUUGAAGAGAACUAGUAAGUUCCGGAAUGUUUCCAGAGAGCUGCCGGGUGGUGUGAGGCAGCAGCGGCACGGAACAGAACUCAUCUCUAAGCAGCUCGCUGAAACAAAAGGAGUAGGUGGAGCCGGGGCCUGGCCGUUAACAGACAGGAGGGUAUCGACAGUUGUCCGUACCUGUAGAGAGCCUAUCUUCGGAUAGGAAUUAGAGUGGUAACGCGUAAGUAUAAUCUUUCGUCUCUUUG
This 247-nucleotide non-coding RNA is filed under the name Megasphaera elsdenii. RNAcentral's name for it is "T-box sequence". It matches the Rfam family "T-box leader". From Rfam's summary of the family: Uncharged tRNA acts as the effector for transcription antitermination of genes in the T-box leader family. T-boxes are found upstream of many aminoacyl-tRNA synthetase genes and some amino acid biosynthetic genes usually in Gram-positive bacteria. The anticodon of a specific tRNA base pairs to a specifier sequence within the T-box motif, and the NCCA acceptor tail of the tRNA base pairs to a conserved bulge in the T-box antiterminator hairpin. The record is from RNAcentral. Lineage: Bacteria; Bacillati; Bacillota; Negativicutes; Veillonellales; Veillonellaceae.